This 552-nucleotide small RNA is filed under the name Pongo abelii (Sumatran orangutan). Its description in RNAcentral is "retained intron". The record is from RNAcentral. Lineage: Eukaryota; Metazoa; Chordata; Mammalia; Primates; Hominidae.
AUUCCUCAUUGGAUUUUUAAGCUCUGGACUUACAAGCGCUAAACAUAAACAACAACAAGAAUAGUAUCGUGGUAGCCUUGCCUAUGAGACAGCCUGCAGUUUUUUAAUUUGUCUGAGUCCUGGACCUCAGCCUAGAUGUAACCUUGCUCUGUUGCUGUCCUCUAGAGGCCUGGCACUGUGGACUCGGUGUUGUCUAGCAGAGAGGCCUUGAGGAAGUGGCCCAGCAGUGUGCUUGCAUUUCCAAGGAUUGAGCUCAAGGAGAUGGAAAACAAACUGCCUAUGGAGACCCUUGUAGAAGAAUGUGGAGAGAACAGAGAAAAGUGCAAGUUAAAAGACCAGUCAGACAAAGAAGAAGGCACCAGAGAUAUCUCAUCACCCAAAAGACUUCGAGAUAGACAAGCUUUGUUCCCUGCCAAAGUGACAAAUGUCAGCUUGCUGGAAAAGUUUGAACGAAGUGAGAGUGGUGGGAAGAUUAUGACCCCUGAAAGCUUAUCAUCUCCAAGUUGUCUGAAACAUGACAGUGAGAUGAAGCCCCAAACAUCUCCAGCUUGC